Homo sapiens (human) is the source of this 273-nucleotide long non-coding RNA. RefSeq lists it as uncharacterized. The record is from RefSeq and is a predicted model, not a curated record. The transcript is spliced from 2 exons. NCBI's taxonomy places the organism in Eukaryota, Metazoa, Chordata, Mammalia, Primates, Hominidae.
GUAGUCCAGGAGGUCUCCGUAGGGAGAGCCACUUCCGCCCAAGCCUUGACUUCUUGAAAAAGGCUGCAGGGAGAAGGAGGGAAUAACCCUUUGGCACUUGGCAGCGGAGUCUCACCUGAGUAGUACUUAUCAUCCUUUUUUCCCAGGGAGACAAUAUUUCCUUCAUUCAUUGGCAAAUUCUGCUCGAAGAUGCCCUGAUAUUUGUUCAAUAAAUGCAGAAACGGAUGAGGGAGAACUUGGGCAUGAGUAAUAAAGAUAGUAUUUAAACAUUGA